Molecule: ribosomal RNA, 654 nt
Filed under: Triticum aestivum (bread wheat)
Lineage: Eukaryota; Viridiplantae; Streptophyta; Magnoliopsida; Poales; Poaceae
Description: partial small subunit ribosomal RNA
Source: RNAcentral
AUGCCCACUGACAAAACAGCAAAAGAAGCACUCCACUUGCUGAUUGACGCGUUCAGUUUGCCUGUCGGACUGGGGAUGGCGAGCAGAACUCAUUCGAAGCAGUAUGCCAGAUUUUUGGAACAACUCACUCCAGAACUUGCUUGUAAAAAUCCGAGCACGAUCAGAAACAACAGAGAGGGGCAUACCAUGCAGUUUGUAGACAGAGUUCAGAAAUGCAUCAGCCAGAGUCUCAGCCGAAAACUGGAGAACCCCGACGACCUCGACGGCGAUCUUUUCCGGCGGGACGGCGGCUCGUGCGGCUGUUUGGCGGGUCGCUCUGUCUGGUCCUGGUGGUGGCUGCGUCAGGUGGAUCUGAAGCUGGAGCACGUGUGGCAGCUUCGGGUGGAUCUGGUGGCAGCUGCUUGUGGUGGCAUCUUCGUGCAGCCGGAUCCGGAGCUUCGGGGUGGCAGCCCGUGCUCCUCGCCUGGUGGUCCUGGUCUGGUGAUGUGCGCCGCGCCGGCUGCGGCUCUUCGUCGGUGGCUUGACUCGGGAGGCUGCCGGAUCUGGCCGGGCUCAGUCGGUUUCGGCUCGCUGGUACUUCUGGCCGGCGGCGAGAUUUGUGGUGGCUUCUGCUUGGUCAUGGCGCGAUGGCUUCGUGGGAGGUGCGCGGGCUAG